CCCCUCUCAGGAUCGCACCUGAAGAGUUUCCAGUACUCUACCAGUCUCGGCUAUGGGAGGGAGAGUGGAACAGAGUCCUACCCAUUCCAUUCCUAGCUUGGGCAGAGGCUAGUGAGUGGAAGGCAAUCUGCUACAAGU
Ornithorhynchus anatinus (platypus) is the source of this 138-nucleotide non-coding RNA. Lineage: Eukaryota; Metazoa; Chordata; Mammalia; Monotremata; Ornithorhynchidae. The record is from Rfam.